CAGCACCGACCUGCCCGCUUACACCGGCCCAUUCAUACACAAAUCCAUCAAGGGAUUCAGGCAAGUGCACAGGUGUGGUCUCUUGGUGGCGGUAUUACAACCAUAGCAGCAGCAGAGAAAGAAACUCUUCCUCGACCUCUUUUACUCAUCCACACACGCGCACACCAUUACUGGAAUGCUGAAUGCCGCCCUGCGUACCAAGCGCAAUGGCGCCGCACCGCCGGCCCCGGCUCCGGCGGAGAGCGAGUUCCACCAGAUGCGCAUGCAGGAGCAACUGCGCAACCACGCCAUAAAGGACUUCGACGCCACCGAGCAGCAAGUAUCGCCGUCCUACUUCGUCGCUUCCCUGCGAGAGCUGUGCGCGCAGCGUUUGGCGGACAGCUUUGCUGAGUGUGCGGAGGUGGAUGCGCUGCGGGAGGAGCAGCCAGAUCUCUACGCCAUGGUGUUGGAGCGGCUGCCGACGCAGCCAGACACAAUGCUGCCACUGCGCAUCACUGUCCCGCGGAUUAUUGAUGAGAAGUACUGGCAGCGCUGCUGCAAGGCUCGAUGGCCGCUGGGGCAGCUGUCCCGCAUGGCGAAGGGACAGAGGCUGCUUGAGAAGGAGUACGGGUGGAAGCGCUUGUUCCUUGAGCAGGUCCUUAGCGACUUUCUCAUGGCUCUUGGCAGCGGCAGCAAUGCGGGGGACGGCAACGGCAGUCUGCUGCCUCCCGGUGUCAUGACGGUGGUAACCGGCGAGGCCCUUGCUGUCUCGCAGAAGGGCAUUACGUCGCUGGCGUCUGCUGCCGCAACGUGCACUCCCCGAGACGCCGACACCAGUCUCUUCGACUUGAGCCUUGACGACGAGGCCAUCGCUGCGCUGCGUGAGCUGUGCGCCAUCUGCCGCGACUACGUCCACACAGUCGAUUUGCCCUGCCAACUGGUGCACUUCCGCCCCUAUGAGCAUCUUUUUGCACACGUGCCUGGCAUCCUUUCCUUUCGUCUCACCUUCGGGGUGGCGAACCGCGGCGUUCGUGUCAGUGUGACGGACAUGAUCGGCUUUCGCGACGAGGACGCGCAACUGAUACAACAACUGCUACGGCACUACGCCGCUCUAGAGUCCCUGCGGCUCCCGCUGAACCGGCUGGAAAACCGUCAUGUGCAGAUGAUCGCAGCAGGUUUAGAAAGCUCGACCACGCUGCGCGUCCUCGACUUCUCGCAGAACUCGCUGACAGACGCCGCCGUUGUGGAGGCGGUAUCGCUGCUGCUCUGCCGGCCCGACUUCCCGCUGGAGGAGCUGUACCUCGCUGACAACCAACUGGCGGACAAGGCGGCGGCCGCCUUGGCCGAGGCCCUGCGGUUCAAUAAGACACUACACGUCCUGCACCUGCAGCAGAAUUGCAUUGGCGAUGCCGCCGGUGGGGCUCUGCUGGUGCGCUCGCUGGCGGUGCACCCAACGCUAGCGGACGUGAACCUCGGCAGCAACCGUUUCGGGACGAGCACCGCGGAGGCGCUGUCGGAGGUGCUCCCUCAACUCACACAGCUGCGCAUGCUUUGCCUCUCUGGCAACUCGCAGCUUGCUGGUGAAGAGGUGUCCUCGCUCCCCUUCCCCUCUGAAGGCGCCGCCGCAGCGGCGCCUGUGGCCCCGACCGGCUCCACCACCUCUAUCCCUUCGGUGUACUCCACCAGCCUCUUGGCGGUGUCUGCCAAAGACAGUGAUGCCGAGGCCGCAGAGAUCGGUACUGCAGACAGCCAAAAGGCGGACGAAGAAGGGGAUGAGGAUGAGGCGGACGCAUCCCUCACCCAUGCGGAGACAGCGGAGGGAGAGUCCUACAGAUUCACCACCACGGCGCGGCCUUCUGUGGCGACGGUGGCCGGCGAGGAUGUGUCAACGCUGCAGCACAGAGGCCCUCGUGCGUCGAGGAAACAGAAGGACACGUCCCAGCUUCUGCCCACUGCCGCGCCACCGCCGCCGCUGGCGCAGACGGCUGGUGGCAGGCUCAUUGCCGCCGCUGUCAAAGCCAACGCAUCUCUCGUGGAGCUGGACGUGCGCUUCUGCGGCUUGACACCGGCGGAGGAGCAAGAGAUCAUGCGCGCGGUUCAGGAGCGCGUGUACCAGCAUCAGAUGGACACGUCGGUGACCUUGAGAGAGGCGGAGCGGCGGCGUGCGCUGCAGCGCCGCGCAAAGGAACGGGUUGCGCGCAUGACAGGACGAAGUGCCUAAGAUGGUGGUGCGGAGCACAGCGUAGGGAAGGAGCGAGAGCGGCGUGCCGAUACACACCAGGGUGCACCAUAGCAUUGCACGCUUGCAGCGGUGGAGGUGGGGGAGCAGCGUGCCGUGUGGUGACCCUUGUGCGCACACUCUCUCCUCUGCCCUCAGUCUCUCGGCUCGCCUUUUUAUGUAAAUUUCCUGUGUUUCCGUCUGUCUUGUUCUUUACCCUUCUCACCUGCGAUGUAUCCUCCCCUUCCCUCCUUCCCUACUUCGCCCUGUGACCUCUUCGCUUGUCUCAGUGUCUUCUCGGUAUCGUUCGGCUCGCUUCGCAGAGCUC
Molecule: unclassified non-coding RNA, 2525 nt
Filed under: Leishmania donovani
Lineage: Eukaryota; Euglenozoa; Kinetoplastea; Trypanosomatida; Trypanosomatidae
Description: gene:LdHU3.17.1430(CDS-product:Leucine_Rich_repea t_putative)
Source: RNAcentral